CGCGUAGGCGGUCUCUUAAGUCAGAUGUGAAAGCCCGAGGCUUAACCUCGGAAGUGCAUUUGAAACUAAGGGACUUGAGUAUGGGAGAGGGAAGUGGAAUUCCUGGUGUAGCGGUGAAAUGCGUAGAUAUCAGGAGGAACACCGGUGGCGAAGGCGACUUCCCGGACCAAUACUGACGCUGAGGCGCGAAGGCGUGGGGAGCAAACAGGAUUAGAUACCCUGGUAGUCC
This 229-nucleotide ribosomal RNA is filed under the name uncultured bacterium. RNAcentral's name for it is "partial 16S ribosomal RNA". It matches the Rfam family "Bacterial small subunit ribosomal RNA", at positions 568 to 796 of the family's 1533-position model. The record is from RNAcentral.